UGGCGACCGGCGCACGGGUGCGUAACGCGUAUGCAACCUGCCCAUAACAGGGGGAUAACACUGAGAAAUUGGUACUAAUACCCCAUAACAUCGGGACCGGCAUCGGUUCUGGUUGAAAACUCCGGUGGUUAUGGAUGGGCAUGCGUUGUAUUAGCUGGUUGGUGAGGUAACGGCUCACCAAGGCAACGAUACAUAGGGGGACUGAGAGGUUAACCCCCCACAUUGGUACUGAGACACGGACCAA
RNAcentral lists this ribosomal RNA (244 nucleotides) under uncultured bacterium. RNAcentral describes it as "partial 16S ribosomal RNA". It matches the Rfam family "Bacterial small subunit ribosomal RNA", at positions 89 to 334 of the family's 1533-position model. The record is from RNAcentral.